RNAcentral lists this transfer RNA (67 nucleotides) under Heterocephalus glaber (naked mole-rat). It matches the Rfam family "tRNA". From Rfam's summary of the family: Transfer RNA (tRNA) molecules are approximately 80 nucleotides in length. Their secondary structure includes four short double-helical elements and three loops (D, anti-codon, and T loops). Lineage: Eukaryota; Metazoa; Chordata; Mammalia; Rodentia; Bathyergidae. The record is from Rfam by way of RNAcentral.
GGUAGUUCAGUGGUAGAACACUUGCCUAGCAUGUGUAAGACCCUGGGUUCCACUCCCAGAACUACCA